This 1170-nucleotide long non-coding RNA is filed under the name Strigops habroptila (Kakapo). RNAcentral's name for it is "lncRNA (ENSSHBG00005006709.1)". Lineage: Eukaryota; Metazoa; Chordata; Aves; Psittaciformes; Psittacidae. The record is from RNAcentral.
GGGAGCGGGCGGGCGGCGCCUCAUGGCGGCCGGUGUCCCGGGGCGGGCAGCUCUAGAGCGCUUCAACAGCCCGAGCGUGCCGCCACCCGCGUCCCGUGAGGAAACCCGCCGGGAGCGCGGCGGCAGCGGCGCUGUCCUGCGCGGGCAGGCACAGAGGUGUGACGGUCACACCGGGCACAAAGCGAGGCCUGCGCGAGGUGCUGCAGUGGUGUCAGCGAAGAGCCUGCCCUCAGGGUGUGAGAGGACAGCUCUUUCUUGCACCUUGGAUGUGAAUUCUGCUCAAGAGAACUGAGGCCAUCGUCCUUGUUCCGGGCAAAAUCAGUCAGCAACAAAAUACAUCUGAGACCCUGGGUGAGACCAUUCCACUGAUUCAAGACAAGGUGAUGGAAAUGAACCACCUCUGUGCCAAAGUGCAUAAAGUAGAGGCAUUUGUUAAAAUGGUUGCACACUGUUUUCCUUCCUAGAAGAGCAAAUGCUUGAAGCCGAGAAGAGCCAUGGCACCUUUCUUAAUACUCUUUGCAAAUUACUUCAGUGUGCAACUAUCUCGUCAUUGAAAACUAGACACCCUCUGUCAGCAGCACACCCCUGUGACCUGCCAAAACUACUGAACCGAAGACUUUUUUCCUAUGAACUAUGUAGGUACCACGUCUCAAAAUAAUUUUUGGCUACUAGAAAGUUUCUGGGAAAGACUGCCCGAGUUGCUUCUCACAGUUCAUACUUUAUGGCAUUAGGAAGAAGCAACUGUUACAUUUCAGAUCUUUGGCUAGCAUCUGCAGGGGAAGCUAAAAGUUUCUGAUCAUAUUGUAGCUAUAUAGAGGCUGGAACAUUUAAGAUUCGAUCAUAGUGGUUUGCACUUCAUCAGCUUCUGAAAUCAGUGGAGAGGAUGUGCAAAUCCUCUUUUACCUUCACGUUUUUAUACCUCAGAUGGUCAGAAGGUUGAAGAGUGCUCUGGAAGCAUGCUAAAGCUGUGAUGUGCUAAUAGUGCCAGCUUCACUAUGCACAAAUGAUCAGAUUUUACAAGAGAAGCCCAUGUCAGAAUUUAGAAGUUCAAUAGACAGCACAUGGAUGGCUAAAGCUCCCAGCACUCUACUUCAGACUAGGAACAGGGGGUUAUGAGCUGUUGUGUAAUGUAAGUAAGUUGAAUGGUAUAAAUAAACUGUCUGCAAAGCU